Molecule: ribosomal RNA, 343 nt
Filed under: uncultured bacterium
Lineage: Bacteria
Description: bacterial SSU rRNA
Rfam family: Bacterial small subunit ribosomal RNA
Source: RNAcentral
AGGGUUCGAUCCUGGCUCAGGAUGAACGCUGGCGGCGUGCUUAACACAUGCAAGUCGAACGGGAAACUUUUUAUUGAAGCUUCGGCAGAUUUAAUUUGUUUCUAGUGGCGGACGGGUGAGUAACGCGUGGGUAACCUGCCCUGUACUGGGGGACAACAGUUGGAAACGACUGCUAAUACCGCAUAAGCGCACAGCAUCGCAUGAUGCAGUGUGAAAAACUCCGGUGGUACAGGAUGGACCCGCGUCUGAUUAGCUAGUUGGUGAGGUAACGGCUUACCAAGGCAACGAUCAGUAGCCGACUUGAGAGAGUGAUCGGCCACAUUGGGACUGAGACACGGCCCAA